CGGCGAGUGAGCGGGAGAGCUCAAAUUUGAAAUCUGGUAGCCUUCGGUUGCCCGAGUUGUAAUCUAGAGAAGUGUUUUCCGUGCCGGCCCAUGUACAAGUCCCUUGGAACAGGGCGUCAUAGAGGGUGAGAAUCCCGUCCUUGACAUGGACCCCCGGUGCUUUGUGAUACACUUUCAACGAGUCGAGUUGUUUGGGAAUGCAGCUCAAAAUGGGUGGUGAAUUCCAUCUAAAGCUAAAUAUUGGCGAGAGACCGAUAGCGAACAAGUACCGUGAGGGAAAGAUGAAAAGCACUUUGGAAAGAGAGUUAAACAGUACGUGAAAUUGUUGAAAGGGAAACGAUUGAAGUCAGUCAUGCUCUUGGGACUUACCUCCCUUGAGUGGGGUCAACAUCAGUUUUGAUCGAUGGAUAAAGGCACGGGGAAGGUAGCACUCUCGGGUGAACUUAUAGCCUCGCGUCAUAUACAUUGAUUGGGACUGAGGAACGCAGCAUGCCUUAUGGCCGGGAUUCGUCCACGUACAUGCUUAGGAUGUUGACAUAAUGGCUUUAAACGACCCGUCUUGA
Molecule: ribosomal RNA, 563 nt
Filed under: Naganishia albida
Lineage: Eukaryota; Fungi; Basidiomycota; Tremellomycetes; Filobasidiales; Filobasidiaceae
Description: LSU rRNA
Rfam family: Eukaryotic large subunit ribosomal RNA
Source: RNAcentral